AUUGAACGCUGGCGGCAUGCUUUACACAUGCAAGUCGAACGGUAACAGGGAGCUUGCUCCGCUGACGAGUGGCGAACGGGUGAGUAAUAUAUCGGAACGUACCCAAGAGUGGGGGAUAACGUAGCGAAAGUUACGCUAAUACCGCAUACGAUCUAAGGAUGAAAGCAGGGGAUCUUCGGACCUUGUGCUCCUGGAGCGGCCGAUAUCGGAUUAGCUAGUUGGUGAGGUAGAGGCUCACCAAGGCGACGAUCAGUAGCUGGUCUGAGAGGACGACCAGCCACACUGGAACUGAGACACGGUCCAGACUCCUACGGGAGGCAGCAGUGGGGAAUUUUGGACAAUGGGCGCAAGCCUGAUCCAGCAAUGCCGCGUGAGUGAAGAAGGCCUUCGGGUUGUAAAGCUCUUUUGUCAGGGAAGAAACGGGAGUGGCUAAUAUCCAUUCCUAAUGACGGUACCUGAAGAAUAAGCACCGGCUAACUACGUGCCAGCAGCCGCCGUAA
Molecule: ribosomal RNA, 500 nt
Filed under: uncultured bacterium
Lineage: Bacteria
Description: partial 16S ribosomal RNA
Rfam family: Bacterial small subunit ribosomal RNA
Source: RNAcentral